AUACGGAGGGUGCAAGCGUUAAUCGGAACUACUGGGCGUAAAGCGUACGUAGGCGGUUAUUUAAGUCAGAUGUGAAAGCCCCGGGCUUAACUUGGGAACUGCAUUUGAAACUGGGUAACUAGAGUUUAGUAGAGGGGAGUGGAAUUUCAGGUGUAGCGGUGAAAUGCGUAGAGAUCUGAAGGAACACCAGUGGCGAAGGCGACUCCCUGGACUAAAACUGACGCUGAGGUACGAAAGCGUGGGUAGCAAACAGGAUUAGAAACCCUAGUAGUCC
RNAcentral lists this ribosomal RNA (274 nucleotides) under uncultured bacterium. RNAcentral describes it as "partial 16S ribosomal RNA". It matches the Rfam family "Bacterial small subunit ribosomal RNA", at positions 523 to 796 of the family's 1533-position model. The record is from RNAcentral.